This is a small nuclear RNA of Carcharodon carcharias (great white shark), 135 nucleotides long. RefSeq annotates it as U11 spliceosomal RNA. The transcript has a single exon. The record is from RefSeq and is a predicted model, not a curated record. NCBI's taxonomy places the organism in Eukaryota, Metazoa, Chordata, Chondrichthyes, Lamniformes, Lamnidae.
UAAGAGGGUUUUGGCUGUGAAUAGCACAUGGAUGAGACACUUGCGCUUUAUCCAUGCGGAAUCGAUAUCAAAAGAUUUCGGAAGCACAGUUUUUGUUUCUUGAGGCUGCUGACGAUUGUUUGUCUCGGCGUUCCG